CAGCCGCCGCGGUAAUACGAAGGGGGCUAGCGUUGCUCGGAAUUACUGGGCGUAAAGGGCGCGUAGGCGGACAAUUAAGUCGGGGGUGAAAGCCCGGGGCUCAACCUCGGAAUUGCCUUCGAUACUGGCUGUCUUGAGUGUGAGAGAGGUGUGCGGAACUCCGAGUGUAGAGGUGAAAUUCGUAGAUAUUCGGAAGAACACCAGUGGCGAAGGCGACACACUGGCUCACUACUGACGCUCAUGCACGAAAGCGUGGGGAGCAAACAGGAUUAGAUACCCGGGUAGUCCCUGUCUCUUAUAC
RNAcentral lists this ribosomal RNA (301 nucleotides) under uncultured bacterium. RNAcentral's name for it is "partial 16S ribosomal RNA". It matches the Rfam family "Bacterial small subunit ribosomal RNA", at positions 509 to 807 of the family's 1533-position model. The record is from RNAcentral.